UUGACCUCUGACCUCAAAUCAGGUAGGGUUACCCGCUGAACUUAAGCAUAUCAAUAAGCGGAGGAAAAGAAACUAACAAGGAUUCCCCUAGUAACUGCGAGUGAAGCGGGAAAAGCUCAAAUUUAAAAUCUGGCAGUCUUUGGCUGUCCGAGUUGUAGUCUGGAGAAGUGCUUUCCGUGCUGGACCGUGUACAAGUCUCUUGGAACAGAGCGUCAUAGAGGGUGAGAAUCCCGUCUUUGACACGGACUACCAGUGCUUUGUGAUGCGCUCUCAAAGAGUCGAGUUGUUUGGGAAUGCAGCUCAAAAUGGGUGGUGAAUUCCAUCUAAAGCUAAAUAUUGGCGAGAGACCGAUAGCGAACAAGUACCGUGAGGGAAAGAUGAAAAGCACUUUGGAAAGAGAGUUAAACAGUACGUGAAAUUGCUGAAAGGGAAACGCUUGAAGUCAGUCGCGUUGGCCAGGACUCAGCCUUGCUUUUUUGCUUGGUGCAUUUUCUGGUUGACGGGUCAGCAUCAGUUUUGAUUGUCGGAAAAAGGUUGGAGGAAUGUGGCACCUUCGGGUGUGUUAUAGCCUCUGGUCACAUACGACGGUUAGGACUGAGGAUAUCAGCACGCCUUUAUGGCCGGGGUUCGCCCACGUUCGUGCUUAGGAUGCUGGCAUAAUGGC
Molecule: ribosomal RNA, 664 nt
Filed under: Antrodia sitchensis
Lineage: Eukaryota; Fungi; Basidiomycota; Agaricomycetes; Polyporales; Fomitopsidaceae
Description: eukaryotic LSU rRNA
Rfam family: Eukaryotic large subunit ribosomal RNA
Source: RNAcentral